This 550-nucleotide ribosomal RNA is filed under the name uncultured bacterium. RNAcentral's name for it is "bacterial SSU rRNA". It matches the Rfam family "Bacterial small subunit ribosomal RNA", at positions 355 to 896 of the family's 1533-position model. The record is from RNAcentral.
UAGGGAAGCUUCGGCAAUGGAAGGAAGUCCGACUGAGCAACGCCGCGUGAGUGAAGAAGGUUUUCGGAUCGUAAAGCUCUGUUGUAAGAGAAGAACGAGUGUGAGAGUGGAAAGUUCACACUGUGACGGUAUCUUACCAGAAAGGGACGGCUAACUACGUGCCAGCAGCCGCGGUAAUACGUAGGUCCCGAGCGUUGUCCGGAUUUAUUGGGCGUAAAGCGAGCGCAGGCGGUUAGAUAAGUCUGAAGUUAAAGGCUGUGGCUUAACCAUAGUAGGCUUUGGAAACUGUUUAACUUGAGUGCAAGAGGGGAGAGUGGAAUUCCAUGUGUAGCGGUGAAAUGCGUAGAUAUAUGGAGGAACACCGGUGGCGAAAGCGGCUCUCUGGCUUGUAACUGACGCUGAGGCUCGAAAGCGUGGGGAGCAAACAGGAUUAGAUACCCUGGUAGUCCACGCUGUAAACGAUGAGUGCUAGGUGUUAGACCCUUUCCGGGGUUUAGUGCCGUAGCUAACGCAUUAAGCACUCCGCCUGGGGAGUACGACCGCAAGGUUG